ACGGUGCAUAGACUGUUUUUUUUUCUCGUUAGUUUUCAUGGCUAAAAUGAGAGAUCAGGUGGCUGAUCUUAAAAUAAAUCAAUACUGAAUUUUUUAUAGAGCGUUAAAGUUUUGCGAAGCCAGGGGGCGGGGCUACUUGAUUGACAGUCUGGUCUGGAAUGAUUGACAGGUCCUAUGGAGGAGGCAGCAGAGACUCUGCUCGCCUGGUUUGGAUUAAUUCUGAUAUAAUAACUGUUGGUUUAUUUAUCGGUGGAGCAGCAGAACAUUUUCCACAGACAGUUUUCCUGCCCGUUGGCUUGUUUUAACUAGUUUUCUGCCUUCGGCUGAUUCUACCAGCAGACACUGAAAGGACUCUGAUAGUUUGGUGUCUCAUAUUCACUGUGAGGAUCUUCUGAGUGAAGCCAGCAGAAGGAAAACCUCAUCUGGAUGUGAAGAAGGAGACUGAAUGGACGACAUCCUCAGUGAACCACUUGAGUGAAAGUAACAGUUCCUCCUGAAGGUCAGAGGUUGCAGCAUCUGAGGGCCUCUUCAAAAGAAGACGUAGUUGAUGAAGGCGUUCUGGAGCAGGACCAGAAAGACCACGACCAAGCAGCCUUGAGAUCUUAGGCAGCGUCUCCCUCAGGUCCCUCUCUAUCUCCCCACACAUCUCCAAAGUUCUGCUGGGCCAGCUCAGCUUCCCCUCAGAAGAAGUGCCGCCACCUGCCAGAUGAAGGAGCCUUUUGAGAGGCAGCUGGCAUCGUGAUUGGACUGUACUUUGGUCUGUUCCAAUCCAGCUUCAGCUCCAGAGACGGCAGGCGGGACGAGUCAACGGAGGCUGGAUGGACGAAGGCAUGCAGCUGAGUACAAUCCAGAAAACAACAGAGGAGGAGUGCAGUGGCGCAGAGCCAGAACAAGCAGAGUAGGAUGACCAAAGAACUACAGACUCUUCACAACCUGCUUAAACUCUUGGUACAGGACCUCACCACACGGGUCAAGAAGGUUUCUGUCUCAUUUCUACUCUGAAGCUCACCUUCUCCUGCUCAAACUGCUGACAAAUGUUUCUGCUGCUCUAAAGUCUGGUCUCCAGAACUUCCUAAAAACUCUCAAAGUCUCUUCUGCUGCAGGUUGCUUUGUAGAACUGUUGCAGAAAACCUCACUAAACCACAUGGAGGGGGCUCAAGAUAGUCGUCCAAAUGAAACAGUACAAAAACCAAACUAGCACAACCCAAACGCUAAAGUCUCCUGCAGCCUACCAGAGAACCUCUGAGAACAGAGAAUCAGGACAGGAACUCUUACCUUCUGGACAACCAACGCUGGUUCUCAAACAAGAAUACAGAAUGUGUCUGACCAAAAACCUCUGAAGACUCACUACAGCCAAGACAAAGACACAACUCAGCUGCACCAAAUCCACUAAUCACUGCACACAUUAGCACCAUGUGCUAACUGUGGCUAAAGAACCACAUUUACCAAGACAACUAUCCAGUACAAAGCCCUAAAACACACCAAGAAACACAUUAAAGACGAUUUUACUGCUGGAAGCUGCAAGCCAACGUCUAAAGAACAAACUAAAGCAAUGGAGCCAAACCCGGUUCAGUGGUGAAGAGAAGCAGAGGAAAUGUUUGUCUGCAGCUAAAUAAAGCAGGAAGACACUGAGCUGCUCAGGUGUUCCUGAUAACACCAAGCAGCCACCUGGACAGCCAAUAGGAACACAGCUUACUGGAAGUCCAGAGGGCUGGGUUAGUGAAGGAAAUUUAGUUUAAAGUUGAAGCAGAAAGUUAACAAAGAAAGUUGAAAACCACCUUCUGAUACCUGAAAUCUCUGAGUUUUUACACAAAGAACGCCUGAACAUGUCAAACUGGUUCCAUAGUAGAACCCUCAUUGUAAAAACGUCAUAGUAUGGUGUGUUGCUCGAAAAACAUUACGACCUGGCUGUCUAGGGUCGCCGAGGAGCAACACAAAAACAGGACAAACGCUGGUUUCCAGGGGGUUAGGCAGCUAUUUAUUUGAAAGAGGAAGUUUACAACAACACGUGAGCAGAAAAAUCACAAAGUCUGUCUUUACUUCAGCUGAAAAUACUAGUUUUUGUCUUUUUUUUAUUGACCAAACUUUUCAGGAAGUAGAUGAAGAAUAAUUAAAGCUCUCAUGUAGAAGUCCAACUUACUGUAUUUUGGAUACUUGUGGAGAGUUUAAUCUUAGAGUUUGUAAAGCUGUUGAGUUUUUAGAGUCACAUGGAUUGUUUUGACAUUUAAUAACAGAGUCCUGAAAUAAAAUUACAGUUGUGGACUUCUGUCAUUUAGUCUGGACUAAACAAAUAACAGCAGCAUAAAUCUCAAAUGUCAUUAUGAGGAGUCUGGAUUGAGGUUUCUCACUUGAUAAUGAUCAAAACAUGAAACUUAGGUUGGUUUAAAGGAAUGUUCCACCUUAAAUCUUUGAAUGUUGACCUAAAAGGUUGGUUUCAGGAAGUAUUCCACCUACAAGGUCCUCACACAUCCACCUUAAAGGAACAUUCCACCAAAAAUCCUUGGACAUGCACCUAAAAUGUUGGUUUAACCGAUAUUCCAUCCAAAAUCCUCAAAUACAGACCCGAAAGGGUGGUUUAGAAAAAAUCCUUCAAUGUAGACCAAAAAAGUUAGUAUGGAGGAAUAUUCCACCUGAAAUGUAGACCUGAGAAGUUGGUUUGGAAGAAUAUACCAUCCUAAAAUCCUCCAAUGUCAACCUAAAAGGUGAGUUUAAUGGUAUAUUCCACCUAAAAUUCACUACUGUAGACCUUGGAGGUUGGUCUGAUGGUAUAUUCCAUCCAACAUCUUUGAACAUAAAUUUAAAAAGUUCAAAGGAAUAUUCCACCUGAAAUCCUUCAAUGUCGACCAAAAAAAUCUUGGUGUAAAGGAGUAUUCCACCUUAAAUGUAGACCUAAAGGAUGGUUUGGAGUAAUAUUCUACUCUAAAAUCUUCCAAUGUAGACCUAAAAGGUUUAUCUGAUGGUAUAUUCUACCCAACAUCCUGGAACGUUUACCUAAAAGGUUGGUUUAAUGGUAUAUUCCCAGAAGAACCCUUGAACAUUGGGCUUAAUGGUAUAUUCCACCCAAAAUACUUGAACAUAUACCAAGAAGUCAGUGUAAAGGAAAUGUAGACCUAAAAGGAUAGUUUUAAGGAAUAUUUAAAUGAUUAUUUUCAUUAUUUAAUAAUCUGUUAUCAGUCAGAACCCUGGCAAACUUAUUUUCAUCAGUUUGUUUUAGUUGAAGUCACAAAUAAAGGAGCUCUUGGUUUUUCCCGGCGUUAGUGAGUCAAAAGCUGCUGUUUCAACACAGAACGUUCACAUGCAUCCACAAACCUCUAAGCACUCAAACACCCACAGACAGGAGGCCGGCUGGACCGAGGCUCGGCGGCGUCCUCAGACCCACGAGUCGGGGAGUCGCUGAACUUGUUGGUCCGGUUUGAAGGCCUCUGUGUGGUCCAGUAGAAGUCCACGUAGUCGGUGUUGGCUUUGAACGGCAGCGACUGGCCACCAUCAGGUGGACCGGCUCGUCCUCGCAGGGCUCCUCCUGUUGCCUUGAGGGGACCACAGGAACAUUCAGUAGCUGUUGGAGUUCUUCCUGUCAGGCUCGUGGUAGAACGGCCCUUAAGAAUCUUGUACUUGUCUUAUCAGGAACAAUCUAACAGCCUAAACUGUUAACAGCGGUGUAAAGAAGCAAACACACAGGCAUAGAUUAGGACUCAAACUAGAUUUAUUUUAGAAAACAAAUCAACUUAGAGGCAUUUGUUCACACGUGGCUGAAUAGGAGGCCGUCCAAUCAGAUUCGAGGUCUUCACUCUGUAGGUUGUUUGUUUGGUGAGACUCUUGGACCUCCAUCAGCUGACGUGGAUGUUUGAUGGGCUUCUUCUCUAGUGCCAGAUGAUUCAUCCAUGAAUUCAGCAGCUACAGACUGAAAUGAAGCUCAUGCUGCCGUGAUUGAAUUCCUGUUCCAGAUCAAAUGUUCAGAGCUCACCUUGAAUGCAGCCGUCUGCUGUCUGAUAGUUUUUCUCAUUGUAGUCUUCAAUAAAGUCUUUUUCCUCA
Molecule: long non-coding RNA, 4032 nt
Organism: Amphiprion ocellaris (clown anemonefish)
Lineage: Eukaryota; Metazoa; Chordata; Actinopteri; Pomacentridae
Exons: 5
Source: RefSeq, a predicted model, not a curated record